Molecule: ribosomal RNA, 468 nt
Filed under: uncultured bacterium
Lineage: Bacteria
Description: partial 16S ribosomal RNA
Rfam family: Bacterial small subunit ribosomal RNA
Source: RNAcentral
GACGAACGCUGGCGGCGUGCUUAACACAUGCAAGUCGAACGGAAAGGCCCUGCUUUUGUGGGGUGCUCGAGUGGCGAACGGGUGAGUAACACGUGAGUAACCUGCCCCUGACUUUGGGAUAACUUCAGGAAACUGGGGCUAAUACCGGAUAGGAGCUCCUGCUGCUUGGUGGGGGUUGGAAAGUUUCGGCGGUUGGGGAUGGACUCGCGGCCUAUCAGCUUGUUGGGGGGGUAGUGGCUUACCAAGGCUUUGACGGGUAGCCGGCCUGAGAGGGUGACCGGCCCCGUGGGGCUGGAAAUACGACCCAGCCUCGAACUGGAGGCAGCGGUGGAGAAUGUUGCACUAUAGGCGGGAGCCUGAUGCGACAACGCCGCGUGCGGUGAGACGGCCAGCGGGUUGUAAACCGCUUUCGCCUGUGACGAAGCGUGAGUGGCGGUAAUGGGUGAAGAAGCACCGGCUAACUACGUG